CCUAGGGCGGCUGCAGUGGGGAAUAUUGGACAAUGGGCGAAAGCCUGAUCCAGCCAUGCCGCGUGUGUGAAGAAGGCCUUCGGGUUGUAAAGCACUUUCAGUGGGGAAGAAAGCCUUGGGGCUAAUACCCUCGAGGAAGGACAUCACCCACAGAAGAAGCACCGGCUAACUCCGUGCCAGCAGCCGCGGUAAUACGGAGGGUGCGAGCGUUAAUCGGAAUUACUGGGCGUAAAGCGCGCGUAGGCGGUCUGAUAAGCCGGUUGUGAAAGCCCCGGGCUCAACCUGGGAACGGCAUCCGGAACUGUCAGGCUAGAGUGCAGGAGAGGAAGGUAGAAUUCCCGGUGUAGCGGUGAAAUGCGUAGAGAUCGGGAGGAAUACCAGUGGCGAAGGCGGCCUUCUGGACUGACACUGACGCUGAGGUGCGAAAGCGUGGGUAGCAAACAGGAUUAGAUACCCGAGUAGUC
This 464-nucleotide ribosomal RNA is filed under the name Vreelandella stevensii. RNAcentral's name for it is "partial 16S ribosomal RNA". It matches the Rfam family "Bacterial small subunit ribosomal RNA", at positions 338 to 795 of the family's 1533-position model. Lineage: Bacteria; Pseudomonadati; Pseudomonadota; Gammaproteobacteria; Oceanospirillales; Halomonadaceae. The record is from RNAcentral.